RNAcentral lists this ribosomal RNA (445 nucleotides) under uncultured bacterium. Its description in RNAcentral is "SSU rRNA". It matches the Rfam family "Bacterial small subunit ribosomal RNA", at positions 26 to 518 of the family's 1533-position model. The record is from RNAcentral.
AGAACGAACGCUGGCGGCAGGCCUAAUACAUGCAAGUCGAACGCACUCUUCGGAGUGAGUGGCAGACGGGUGAGUAACGCGUGGGAACCUUCCUUGUAGUACGGAAUAACUCCGGGAAACCGGUGCUAAUACCGUAUACGCCCUCCGGGGGAAAGAUUUAUCGCUACAAGAUGGGCCCGCGUUGGAUUAGCUAGUUGGUAGGGUAAUGGCCUACCAAGGCUACGAUCCAUAGCUGGUCUGAGAGGAUGAUCAGCCACACUGGGACUGAGACACGGCCCAGACUCCUACGGGAGGCAGCAGUAGGGAAUCUUGGACAAUGGGCGAAAGCCUGAUCCAGCCAUGCCGCGUGAGUGAAGAAGGCCUUAGGGUUGUAAAGCUCUUUUGGCGGGGACGAUAAUGACGGUACCGCAGAAUAAGCCCCGGCUAACUUCGUGCCAGCAGCCGC